UUGACUUGCCCGCAUUUCCUCCCGGCUGGCGGGGUCUGGGUGGCCAGCACCGUCUCCCUCCAGCCCCCGCUUUAACUCCUCGCCAGGUUUGGCACCUCCCCCGGGCGCCGGCAUUAUCUCCAAGGGGAAGCAGCCGUGCUUAAUUACGUUUCCUUUUAACAGUGAACAUCUGCUGGGCAGCUCGCCUUGGAGGAGGAAGCAGAGCGAGGAAAACCCACGCCUGGGACGCUAGGAGGAGGGAACCUGCAGGUGGGGGCCAGGGCGCCUGGAGCUGCGCGACUUUCUGCUUCUGCGUCACCUCCACCUGGAACCCACAGAUUCCACUGGCAGCUGAGGAGAAAGCAGUGAAAACGGGGCGGGGGGGGAUCUUCCAGAAGACCAAGGGUGUCCCUACGAUGUAGACUCUGUCAUCUUGCCCUUGGCUUCUUAGUGGGGCAACCGCAUCAGGCGGAGAACAUACACCCUCCAAUUUUCAAGGAUGACCCUAUUUGCAGAAAAGACGACGCUCUGCUUGUGUGCGUUUGAUAACAGCGCAUUCAAGUCUUCUCAGAAGGUGCAAGAGGCCUGGAUGACUUCCGUUGACAUUCUGAACUUACUUUUGAAAUGAAAGCAUGCAAAAACAGCUCCAAUAUACUUAGAGCUUCAUUGGGGUGUAUUUUGAAGGUCCUUUAAUAAGCCAGUGCUCUAGGCAUGCAUGCGCCUGUAAUACAACUGCUGCAUGUGUAAGCUCAUCUGGAGUUAAUGCCAAAAGGCCAUAUUUGAGACCCCUGAUACCACGAUGCCAGAAACAAAUGUCCCUUCUGCUCCUCUCCCCCCCAUGGGCUCUAUGCCUGCAAACACCCAGGAAUGGGAGAGAAAGUUCGGGGGGGGGGGCGCUUGGAAUUAAGCCUGUGCCAGGGGUCGAAAGCUCUAAAGAAAUUCUACUUAACUAGGUUCAGGUUGAGACCCAGUUUGGAUGUUUCACUCUCUUCGUGCCUCCUCACCCACUCUGUAAGCAGAAAAAUGUUGAAAGAAGCUAUAAGGAGAACAAAGAUAAAAAUAGAGUUGUUAAGAAGAAAGAUGCCCAACAAUCGGGAGGUGGGAAUGCAUUCUGCGUGCACCCCAAAGAGUUUCCUUCCUGCCCCUCUCUCUCUCCCCCUCCCUCCCCUCCAUCCUGAGUUGGAAUCAAAAUGCUUCAGCAGGCAGUUGGCAAAGAACGGCAUUCAUCCCAAACAAAUACUUUAGUUUUUCCUGUUUGGUGUAUAUUACAGCUUUGGAAUCCCAUGCCUCAUCCACAUUUCCAUGUGGCUUCUCUUUAUGCAGAAACAGAACGGAUACAGCUUUAAAUGCAUGGCUGAGAUGUCAUGGCUCAUGCUCUCCAUACCUGCUAACUAGAAAAGAAAGGAAAAAAAAAGUCUAUCCACCACACCCUCCCCGGGGAAUCAUGUGCAGAGAAAACCAUCAGGAUUGCGUGCUGCUUGGCUCUCUAUCCUUCAGCUGUGUGAACAGCUCCUCCCCUGACACACUUGCCUGUCUUUGAACCUGCCUGGAUGGAUGAGCUCAUUAGCCAGCCACCCCAGGGGCCCUGUCUGUUGGCUGUUCUCCCAGAUGCUAGUUCCUUUUCCCGCGCCACCCAGCAGCCCUCACUGCCAAGGUCGAAAGGCCCUCCCUGGGUGGUGCAGCGAGCCCUCCCCUUGUGCAUCCGUCCCCUUCCUGGGGGAGAACGUGGGAGGGGCGGUCGGGAGUGUCAUUCCUGGCAUCCAGCUGACCCUGCAGUGUUCACAAAGGCCACCCU
Molecule: non-coding RNA, 1774 nt
Organism: Sus scrofa (pig)
Lineage: Eukaryota; Metazoa; Chordata; Mammalia; Artiodactyla; Suidae
Source: RefSeq, a predicted model, not a curated record